ACCUGUGAUAUACAUAAACUGAGUGGGUCAGGUUGGGAAACCUGGUGAGUACAUAGGGUUUUCAACCCACAAUAAUAUAAUUACUAUGUUCAAUCAAACAAUCAACCCAAUUACCCAUCCCCAUUAUCUUCUUUACUCUUUAAGGAUUUAACCUAAGAGUCAUCUAUCCUGCAUUUGUUUAUUCCGAAGUCCCUUACCUCCAGGGUUAUAGGACUGGCACUAAAUCCAUAGCUGCCAAUGUUCGUUCAUAAAGCACUAAUUCCAUAGCUGCUAUAGUCUAUUCAUCGGGUACUAAAUCCAUAGCUACCAGUCUUUAUCUAAUAGGUACUAAGUCCAUAGCUACCAAUGUUCAACAGGUACUAAGUCCAUAGCUACCAAUUCCUACAGGUACUAAAUCCUUAGCUAUCAUCGUCUAACUAAUAGGUACUAAAUCCAUAGCUACCAAUUCUCAACAGGUACUAAAUCCAUAGCUACCAACGUCUAACAGGUACUAAGUCCAUAGCUACCGGUGUUUGUCCCAUAGGCACUAAGUCUAUAGCUGCCAAUGUAUACUCACGUCAUCUUCUAUCUCUCAUCAUUCAUCUACCCAUCUCAUACCCAACAUUUUCGUAUAUAUAAAAUACGUAUACAGUUUAAGUCCUUUAAAACAUGUAUAAAACGUUCAACCAGCAUAGACAGCAAGUAUUCAGAUAAUAUGCACACAUAGCACGUAGUUUAUAUAAAAUACUUCAUAUCUAUGUGUAAGAUGAAAGGGACUAUGCACUCACCUGAUUAGGUGGUGACUCAGCACUCGGACAGCGCUUCGAUAC
This 809-nucleotide long non-coding RNA is filed under the name Lactuca sativa (garden lettuce). RNAcentral describes it as "long non-coding RNA (LSAT_LNC002132)". Lineage: Eukaryota; Viridiplantae; Streptophyta; Magnoliopsida; Asterales; Asteraceae. The record is from RNAcentral.